Molecule: ribosomal RNA, 397 nt
Filed under: uncultured bacterium
Lineage: Bacteria
Description: partial 16S ribosomal RNA
Rfam family: Bacterial small subunit ribosomal RNA
Source: RNAcentral
AUACGUAGGUGACAAGCGUUAUCCGGAUUUACUGGGCGUAAAGGGCGUGUAGGCGGUCUUGCAAGUCAGAAGUGAAAUUCCUGAGCUCAACUCGGGCGCUGCUUCUGAAACUGCAGGACUUGAGUGCUGGAGGGGAUAGCGGAAUUCCUAGUGGAGCGGUAAAAUGCGCAGAUAUUAGGAAGAACACCGGUGGCGAAGGCGGUUAUCUGGACAGUAACUGACGCUGAGGCGCGAAAGCGUGGGGAGCAAACAGGAUUAGAUCCCCUGGUAGUCCACGCCGUAAACGAUGAAUACUAGGUGUAGGGGGUAUCGACUCCCUCUGUGCCGCAGUUAACACAAUAAGUAUUCCGCCUGGGGAGUACGGCCGCAAGGUUGAAACUCAAAUGAAUUGGCGGGG